CCGUGUACGUACAAGCAGUGGGAGCACAGGUUUACCUGUGUGACUGCGUACCUUUUGUAUAAUGGGUCAGCGACUUAUAUUCUGUAGCAAGGUUAACCGUAUAGGGGAGCCGGAGGGAAACCGAGUCUUAAUUGGGCGUUAAGUUGCAGGGUAUAGACCCGAAACCCGGUGAUCUAGCCAUGGGCAGGUUGAAGGUUGGGUAACACUAACUGGAGGACCGAACCGACUAAUGUUGAAAAAUUAGCGGAUGACCUGUGGCUGGGGGUGAAAGGCCAAUCAAACCGGGAGAUAGCUGGUUCUCCCCGAAAGCUAUUUAGGUAGCGCCUCGUGAAUUCAUCUCCGGGGGUAGAGCACUGUUUCGGCUAGGGGGCCAUCCCGGCUUACCAACCCGAUGCAAACUGCGAAUACCGGAGAAUGUUAUCACGGGAGACACACGGCGGGUGCUAACGUCCGUCGUGAAGAGGGAAACAACCCAGACCGCCAGCUAAGGUCCCAAAGUCAUGGUUAAGUGGGAAACGAUGUGGGAAGGCCCAGACAGCCAGGAUGUUGGCUUAGAAGCAGCCAUCAUUUAAAGAAAGCGUAAUAGCUCACUGGUCGAGUCGGCCUGCGCGGAAGAUGUAACGGGGCUAAACCAUGCACCGAAGCUGCGGCAGCGACGCUGUGCGUUGUUGGGUAGGGGAGCGUUCUGUAAGCCUGCGAAGGUGGCCUGUGAGGGUUGCUGGAGGUAUCAGAAGUGCGAAUGCUGACAUAAGUAACGAUAAAGCGGGUGAAAAGCCCGCUCGCCGGAAGACCAAGGGUUCCUGUCCAACGUUAAU
Molecule: ribosomal RNA, 815 nt
Filed under: Salmonella enterica subsp. enterica serovar Saintpaul
Lineage: Bacteria; Pseudomonadati; Pseudomonadota; Gammaproteobacteria; Enterobacterales; Enterobacteriaceae
Description: partial 23S ribosomal RNA
Rfam family: Bacterial large subunit ribosomal RNA
Source: RNAcentral